Molecule: ribosomal RNA, 1779 nt
Filed under: Musa schizocarpa
Lineage: Eukaryota; Viridiplantae; Streptophyta; Magnoliopsida; Zingiberales; Musaceae
Description: SSU rRNA
Rfam family: Eukaryotic small subunit ribosomal RNA
Source: RNAcentral
AGAGUCAUAUGUUUGUCUCAAGAUUAAGCCAUGCAUGUGUAAGUAAGAACUAUUUCAAACUGUGAAACCGCGAAUGGCUCAUUAAAUCAGUUAUAGUUUGUUUGAUGGUACGGCUACCGGAUAACCAUAGUAAUUCUAGAGCUAAUACGUGCAACAAACCCCGACUUCCUAAGGGAUGCAUUUAUUAGAUAAAAGGUCGACGGGGCUUUGCCUCGCCGUUCGGCGAUUCAUGAUAACUGACGGAUCGCACGGCCCUAGUGCCGGGCGACGAUCAUUCAAAUUUCUGCCCUAUCAACUUUCGAUGGUAGGAUAGGGUCCUACCAUGGUGGUGACGGGUGACGGAGAAUUAGGUUCGAUUCCGGAGAGGGAGCCCGAGAAACGGCUACCACAUCCAAGGAAGGCAGCAGGCACGCAAAUUACCCAAUCCUAAAACGGGAGGUAGUGACAAUAAAUAACAAUACCGGGCUCUUCGAGUCCGGGUAAUUGAAUGAGUACAAUCUAAAUCCUUUAACGAGGAUCCAUUGAGGGCAAGUCCGGUGCCGCCAGCCGCGGGUAAUUCCAGCCCCAAUAGUGUAUAUUUAAGUUGUUGCGCUUAAAAAAUGCUCAGAAGUUGGACUUUGGGAUGGGUCGGUCGGUCCGCCAUGGCAGUGUAACCUGGCCGUCCCAUCCCUUCUCGGUUUGGGCGAUGCAUGCCUGGCCUUAAUCGGUCGGGUCGUGGCUUCCCAUUGUUACUUUGAAGAAAUUAGAGUGCUUCAAAGCAAGCCCACGCCCGAUACAUUAGCAUGGGAUAACAUCACAGAUUUCGGUCCUAUUGUGUUGGCCUUCGGAUCGGAGUAAUGAUUAAGAGGGACAAAUGGGGGCAUUUGUAUUUCAUAGUCGAGGUGAUAUUCUUGGAUUUAUGAAAGACUAACCACUCGCAAAAAAGCAUUUGCCAAGGAUGUUUUCAUUAAUCAAGAACGAAAGUUGGUGGCUCAAGACGAUCGAUACCGCCCUAGUCUCAACCAUAAACGAUGCCAAUCGUGGAUCGGGCGGAUGUUGCUUUUAGACUCCGCCGCACCUUAUGAGAAAUCAAAGUCUUUGGGUUCUGGGGAGUAUGGUCGCAAGGGCUGAAACUUAAAGGAAUUGAUUGAAGGGCACCACUGUGAGGGAGCCUGUGGGCUUAAUUUGACUCAACACGGGAAACUUACUAGGUCCGCAUAUAGCAAGGAUUGACAGACCGAGAGCUCUUUUCUUGAUUCUAUGGGUGGUGGUGCAUGGCCGCGUUUUAGUUGGUGGAGCCAUUUGUCCGGUUAAUUCGGAGAACUAAACGAGACCUCAGCCGCUAACUAGCUACGGGGAGGCAUCCCUCCGCCGCCAGCUUUUUGAGGGACUAUGGCCGCUUAGGCCACGGAAGUUUGAGGCAAUAACAGGUUUGUGAUGCCCUUAGAUGUUCCCAAUCGCACGCUUACACACCGAUGUAUUCAACGAAGUUAUAGCCUUUGGCCGACAGUGCCCGGUAAUCUUUUGAAAAUUUCAUCGUGAUGGGGAUAGAUCAUUGCAAUUGUUGGUCUUCAAUGAGGAAUUCCUAGUAAGCUGAGUCAUCAGCUCGCUGCUGACUACGUCCCUGCCCUUUGUACACACCGCCCGCCGCCCUACCUACCGAUUGAAUGGUCCGUGAAGUGUUCGAUCGAGGCGAUCGGGCGUUCGCCGCCCGCCAUCGACGUCAUGAAAGUCCACCGAACCUUAUCAUUUAGAGGAAGGAGAAGUCGAAUAAGGUUUCCGAGGGUGAACCCGCGAAGG